Trichonephila clavipes is the source of this 72-nucleotide non-coding RNA. Lineage: Eukaryota; Metazoa; Arthropoda; Arachnida; Araneae; Nephilidae. The record is from the annotation of a GenBank genome assembly.
AGCAGAGUGGAGCAGUGGAAGCGUGCUGGGCCCUUGCCUCCGAGGUCUGUGGAUCGAAACCACGCUCUGCUA